UACGUAGGGUGCAAGCGUUAAUCGGAAUUACUGGGCGUAAAGCGUGCGCAGGCGGUUAUGUAAGACAGGUGUGAAAUCCCCGGGCUUAACCUGGGAACUGCAUUUGUGACUGCAUAGCUAGAGUACGGUAGAGGGGGAUGGAAUUCCGCGUGUAGCAGUGAAAUGCGUAGAUAUGCGGAGGAACACCGAUGGCGAAGGCAAUCCCCUGGACCUGUACUGACGCUCAAGCACGAAAGCGUGGGGAGCAAACGGG
This 253-nucleotide ribosomal RNA is filed under the name uncultured bacterium. Its description in RNAcentral is "partial 16S ribosomal RNA". It matches the Rfam family "Bacterial small subunit ribosomal RNA", at positions 524 to 776 of the family's 1533-position model. The record is from RNAcentral.